UGCUGGGCUUUAACUGACGCUGAGGCUCGAAAGUGUGGGGAGCAAACAGGAUUAGAUACCCUGGUAGUCCACACUGUAAACGAUGAUUACUAGGUGUGGGGAGUCUGACCCCUUCCGUGCCGCAGUUAACGCAAUAAGUAAUCCACCUGGGGAGUACGACCGCAAGGUUGAAACUCAAAGGAAUUGACGGGGGCCCGCACAAGCAGUGGAUUAUGUGGUUUAAUUCGAAGCAACGCGAAGAACCUUACCAGGUCUUGACAUCGAGUGACCGGCUAAGAGAUUAGCCUUUCCUUCGGGACACAAAGACAGGUGGUGCAUGGUUGUCGUCAGCUCGUGUCGUGAGAUGUUGGGUUAAGUCCCGCAACGAGCGCAACCCCUGCCAUUAGUUGCUACGCAAGAGCACUCUAAUGGGACCGCUACCGACAAGGUGGAGGAAGGUGGGGACGACGUCAAAUCAUCAUGCCCCUUAUGACCUGGGCUACACACGUAAUACAAUGGCCGUUAACAGAGGGAAGCAAUACCGCGAGGUGGAGCAAACCCCCAAAAACGGUCUCAGUUCGGAUUGCAGGCUGCAACUCGCCUGUAUGAAGUUGGAAUGCUA
Molecule: ribosomal RNA, 601 nt
Filed under: uncultured bacterium
Lineage: Bacteria
Description: bacterial SSU rRNA
Rfam family: Bacterial small subunit ribosomal RNA
Source: RNAcentral